RNAcentral lists this ribosomal RNA (2817 nucleotides) under Vibrio parahaemolyticus. RNAcentral's name for it is "23S ribosomal RNA". It matches the Rfam family "Bacterial large subunit ribosomal RNA". The record is from RNAcentral. Lineage: Bacteria; Pseudomonadati; Pseudomonadota; Gammaproteobacteria; Vibrionales; Vibrionaceae.
GUUGUAUGGUUAAGUGACUAAGCGUACACGGUGGAUGCCUUGGCAGUCAGAGGCGAUGAAAGACGUAGUAACUUGCGAUAAGCCCAGAUUAGGUAGUAACAACCAUUUGAGUCUGGGAUUUCUGAAUGGGGAAACCCACUUACAUAAGUAAGUAUCAUUAACUGAAUACAUAGGUUAAUGAGGCGAACCGGGGGAACUGAAACAUCUAAGUACCCCGAGGAAAAGAAAUCAACCGAGAUUCCGAAAGUAGCGGCGAGCGAAAUUGGACUAGCCCUUAAGCUUUACACGCGUUAGACGAACGGUCUGGAAAGUCCGACGAUACAGGGUGAUAGUCCCGUAGUUGACGACGUGUGUUCAGUGAAAUCGAGUAGGGCGGGACACGUGAUAUCCUGUCUGAAUAUGGGGGGACCAUCCUCCAAGGCUAAAUACUACUGACUGACCGAUAGUGAACCAGUACCGUGAGGGAAAGGCGAAAAGAACCCCUGUGAGGGGAGUGAAAUAGAACCUGAAACCGUGUACGUACAAGCAGUAGGAGCAGGCUUGUCCUGUGACUGCGUACCUUUUGUAUAAUGGGUCAGCGACUUAUAUUCAGUGGCAAGGUUAACCAUCUAGGGGAGCCGUAGGGAAACCGAGUCUUAACUGGGCGUUCAGUCUCUGGAUAUAGACCCGAAACCAGGUGAUCUAGCCAUGGGCAGGUUGAAGGUUGAGUAACAUCAACUGGAGGACCGAACCGACUAAUGUUGAAAAAUUAGCGGAUGACUUGUGGCUAGGGGUGAAAGGCCAAUCAAACCUGGAGAUAGCUGGUUCUCCCCGAAAGCUAUUUAGGUAGCGCCUCGGACGAAUACUACUGGGGGUAGAGCACUGUUAAGGCUAGGGGGUCAUCCCGACUUACCAACCCUUUGCAAACUCCGAAUACCAGUAAGUACUAUCCGGGAGACACACGGCGGGUGCUAACGUCCGUCGUGGAGAGGGAAACAACCCAGACCGCCAGCUAAGGUCCCAAAUUACUACUAAGUGGGAAACGAUGUGGGAAGGCUCAGACAGCCAGGAUGUUGGCUUAGAAGCAGCCAUCAUUUAAAGAAAGCGUAAUAGCUCACUGGUCGAGUCGGCCUGCGCGGAAGAUGUAACGGGGCUAAGUAGUAAACCGAAGCUGCGGCAAUGUGCUUUUGCACAUUGGGUAGGGGAGCGUUCUGUAAGCGGUUGAAGGUGUGUGGUAACGCAUGCUGGACGUAUCAGAAGUGCGAAUGCUGACAUGAGUAACGAUAAAGGGGGUGAAAAACCUCCUCGCCGGAAGACCAAGGGUUCCUGUCCAACGUUAAUCGGGGCAGGGUAAGUCGACCCCUAAGGCGAGGCCGAAAGGCGUAGUCGAUGGGAAACGGGUUAAUAUUCCCGUACUUCUUACAAUUGCGAUGGGGGGACGGAGAAGGCUAGGUGGGCCUGGCGACGGUUGUCCAGGUUCAAGUGCGUAGGCUUAAGAGUUAGGUAAAUCCGGCUCUUUUUAAGGCUGAGACACGACGUCGAGCUANNNNNNNNNNNNNNNNNNNNNNNNNNNNNNNNNNNNNNNNNNNNNNNNNNNNNNNNNNNNNNNNNNNNNNNNNNNNNNNNNNNNNNNNNNNNNNNNNCGCGGAUGGAGCUGACGAGAGUCGCAGAUACCAGGUGGCUGCAACUGUUUAUUAAAAACACAGCACUGUGCAAAAUCGUAAGAUGACGUAUACGGUGUGACGCCUGCCCGGUGCCGGAAGGUUAAUUGAUGGGGUUAGACUUCGGUCGAAGCUCUUGAUCGAAGCCCCGGUAAACGGCGGCCGUAACUAUAACGGUCCUAAGGUAGCGAAAUUCCUUGUCGGGUAAGUUCCGACCUGCACGAAUGGCGUAAUGAUGGCCACGCUGUCUCCACCCGAGACUCAGUGAAAUUGAAAUCGCUGUGAAGAUGCAGUGUACCCGCGGCUAGACGGAAAGACCCCGUGAACCUUUACUACAGCUUGGCACUGAACAUUGACCCUACAUGUGUAGGAUAGGUGGGAGGCUUUGAAGCAGGUACGCCAGUAUCUGUGGAGCCGUCCUUGAAAUACCACCCUUGUAGUGUUGAUGUUCUAACGUCGACCCCUAAUCGGGGUUGCGGACAGUGCCUGGUGGGUAGUUUGACUGGGGCGGUCUCCUCCCAAAGAGUAACGGAGGAGCACGAAGGUGGGCUAAUCACGGUUGGACAUCGUGAGGUUAGUGCAAUGGCAUAAGCCCGCUUGACUGCGAGAAUGACAAUUCGAGCAGGUGCGAAAGCAGGUCAUAGUGAUCCGGUGGUUCUGAAUGGAAGGGCCAUCGCUCAACGGAUAAAAGGUACUCCGGGGAUAACAGGCUGAUACCGCCCAAGAGUUCAUAUCGACGGCGGUGUUUGGCACCUCGAUGUCGGCUCAUCACAUCCUGGGGCUGAAGUCGGUCCCAAGGGUAUGGCUGUUCGCCAUUUAAAGUGGUACGCGAGCUGGGUUUAGAACGUCGUGAGACAGUUCGGUCCCUAUCUGCCGUGGGCGUUGGAAGAUUGAAGGGGGCUGCUCCUAGUACGAGAGGACCGGAGUGGACGAACCUCUGGUGUUCGGGUUGUGUCGCCAGACGCAUUGCCCGGUAGCUAAGUUCGGAAUCGAUAACCGCUGAAAGCAUCUAAGCGGGAAGCGAGCCCUGAGAUGAGUCUUCCCUGAUACUUUAAGUAUCCUAAAGGGUUGUCGGAGACUACGACGUUGAUAGGUCAGGUGUGUAAGUGCUGUGAGGCAUUGAGCUAACUGAUACUAAUUGCCCGUGAGGCUUAACCAUACAACACCCAAGGGGUUU